AUGCAAAUCAGCCUGAAGCUCUUUAUGCAUAUGCGAAUACCCAUAAUGAAGCGACCGUAUGCCUCCCCGGCAUAGACAGGUAAGA
Small RNA from Bacteroides sp. CAG:189, 85 nucleotides. It matches the Rfam family "Bacteroides-1 RNA". NCBI's taxonomy places the organism in Bacteria, Pseudomonadati, Bacteroidota, Bacteroidia, Bacteroidales, Bacteroidaceae. The record is from Rfam.